CCGUCCGCCCUUCGGAAUGCCUUCGAGGCCCGGCACCCCGGACGGCUACUCUGGCCAGGUGCGCCAUCCGUCCCCCGGGGAAGGACAGCGCAUAGCCGACAGCCGUCGCACCCCAGGGAGCACCUCCAUG
Molecule: small RNA, 130 nt
Filed under: Actinacidiphila bryophytorum
Lineage: Bacteria; Bacillati; Actinomycetota; Actinomycetes; Kitasatosporales; Streptomycetaceae
Description: Streptomyces-metH RNA
Rfam family: Streptomyces-metH RNA
Source: Rfam by way of RNAcentral